UUUAGAUUUGAUGUUUUUCACACUAUGUUUUGAUGUUUUCAAUAUUGUGGCAUUGUGCUUACAAUUGCAGUAGAGUCAAAGUGCAUUGUAUAGCACAUCACAAUCUGUUGCAAAGCAAUUUGGUGAAUUAGCAAAUGAUACUAUUCGAGGAGUUAGGCAGAAGGAGUGCUAUACUGGGAUUAUAUAAACUUAUAAGAUGUCUGUUAAACAUUCACAAUGUGCAGAAUGAAUUAACUGUUAUAAAAUAUAGUAUGUGGUAAAUGUUUUUUUAUUUUUUUUCCAAGGGCGUUUUGACUUGCAUCAGCCACUGUAUGUCUGUUAAACAUGCAAACAGCAAAGGACCCCAGACCUGAAAGACCUUCUGAGGAGUGGAUAUUGACCAGCUUCAAUAAACACCACCACACUUUACACACUGGACCUCCUGAUCUCCUUUCAAGAACUCAAGGUCAUCUCUCCAAGAUUCUCCAGACAAGCCUUCGCAAAGCUGCUGGAGCAUUGCACGAAGUGUGGAAGAAGAUCUGGAUAUAUCAACGGCGAUGCACUGCAACGCAGCUUCUUGGAGUUUUCAUACGCUUCAUUUGAAUCAGACCAGCUCUGCUGUGGUGCUCCUUUCACCUGCCCAGCCUGAACGCUAGAAUUGUUGGCUGCUUCAGCAGAUGGAAACAGAAAGCUAUAUCGCUUUUGCUCAAACAGAAGACUGUGGCUUGCAAAUAUUGGCCAUUUGAAGAAAGUUGCUAGUGUCCUUCCUGAUCUUCAGGAGCUGGGCCCGGUUGCAUAAAGCACCUUAAGUUUUUCCCUUAAGUAUGACACUUAAGGGGUAAAUUCCCCUUAACUACUAUAAGAUCAUAAUUAAAGAGUUUUGCAUAUAAUCCCUUAAACGGUUUCUUAGGUAAGGGUAAUCGUUAAGUGUUUCAUGACAGCGACCCCGGUUUGUUGUUAUAAAAUACUAUUGUUGCCAUGGAGACGCAACAGAAAAAACUUAAGGGAUUUUCUGCAACAUCCUUAAGUUUAAGGGAAACAUAAGGGUGAACUUAAGGGAAAAUUACUCUUAAGGUGCUUUAUGCAACCGGGCCCUGACCUCAAUGAAACCUUUCCUUAAUGUCAUGCAUGCUUGAGCCACGCUACAACGUGUGGGAUUAAAUGAAGUGGUACUAGGAACCAGGAAGGAACAGGGACAACCACCGGUGAGUGGAGCAAGUGAACAGCUACCUUUCACGUUGUGCCCGUACAACCAAAUAUAUGUCCAAAGCAGCACAGGUGGACAUGCUUACAUUGCAUGCAAUGGGCUGGAACCAUAAAAAAGUAUCUCUCUACAUCAGGCACUUUCCACAAUAUAUGUGAAAACAUCCAGCACGAGACUGCAAGGCUAGCAGAACUAAAAACAAAGCUACAUCGCACAGAUAAAGGGGCGUCACAAUGGCUUUCUGAUGUGAAAGAAUGGGCAGCUGGUGCUGGAAGAAAUCUAAAAUGCAAGCCAAACCAAAGCUCGGGUCUUAGGAGGUUAAACAGUUGGUGACAUCUCCUGCCACAAAAAACAAGCCAACUUCAUCUCACCAUCAGAU
Non-coding RNA from Misgurnus anguillicaudatus (oriental weatherfish), 1562 nucleotides. The record is from RefSeq and is a predicted model, not a curated record. Lineage: Eukaryota; Metazoa; Chordata; Actinopteri; Cypriniformes; Cobitidae.